RNAcentral lists this ribosomal RNA (775 nucleotides) under Branchiostoma belcheri (Belcher's lancelet). Its description in RNAcentral is "partial 16S rRNA". It matches the Rfam family "Bacterial large subunit ribosomal RNA", at positions 1224 to 2610 of the family's 2925-position model. Lineage: Eukaryota; Metazoa; Chordata; Leptocardii; Amphioxiformes; Branchiostomatidae. The record is from RNAcentral.
UUUAGUAUGGUAGUAAAUAACUCUUGUAGAGGAUCUUAUGUUAAAAUGCGUAGAUAGAGAAAAACUUAGACACGAGUAAAUUUUAUGCUUGAUAGGUAUAUACAAGAAAGUAGAACUAUAAGAGUUAAUCUGACAUGAGAGUGUGGUUAAGUAAAUUAAUUAGGGAAUAGGAACUCGGCAAAUCUUAAGCUCGCCUGUUUAACAAAAACAUCGCCUUCAGAUUCAAUAUUGGAGGUCUGGUCUGCCCAGUGUAAUUAAUUAACGGCCGCGGUAUUCUGACUGUGCAAAGGUAGCAUAAUCACUUGCCCUUUAAAUGGGGGAAUGUAUGAAUGAUUAGACGAGGUUUUUACUGUCUCUUCCUUAUAAAUUGAGAUUACAAUACUUGUGAAAAUGCGGGUAAGGUAAUAAAGGACGAGAAGACCCUAUUGAGCUUUUAAGCUAAACUAUAGUACAGGUUAAGUUAAGUAAUAAUUUACAAUUAAAACGAGUAAUUUUUUGUAGGCUUUUUGGCUGGGGUGGCAAGCAAAGAUAUUAAGCUUUGUUGUAGUAUACAUUUUGUAUUUCUAGAUAAUAUGUAUCUAUAAAUAAUUAAAUUGAUCCGUUAAAAUAGAACGAUUAAAAGAAUAAGUUACCACAGGGAUAACAGCGUAAUUCUUUUUGAGAGCUCGAAUUGACAAAGGAGUUUGCGACCUCGAUGUUGGAUCAAGAUUCCUAGCGGUGUAGCAGCUGUUACGGGUUUGCCUGUUCGGCGAUUAAUAUCUUACGUGAUCUGAGU